GCACAGAGAGCUUGCUCUCGGGUGACGAGCGGCGGACGGGUGAGUAAUGUCUGGGAAACUGCCUGAUGGAGGGGGAUAACUACUGGAAACGGUAGCUAAUACCGCAUAAUGUCGCAAGACCAAAGUGGGGGACCUUCGGGCCUCAUGCCAUCAGAUGUGCCCAGAUGGGAUUAGCUAGUAGGUGGGGUAACGGCUCACCUAGGCGACGAUCCCUAGCUGGUCUGAGAGGAUGACCAGCCACACUGGAACUGAGACACGGUCCAGACUCCUACGGGAGGCAGCAGUGGGGAAUAUUGCACAAUGGGCGCAAGCCUGAUGCAGCCAUGCCGCGUGUGUGAAGAAGGCCUUCGGGUUGUAAAGCACUUUCAGCGGGGAGGAAGGCGAUAAGGUUAAUAACCUUGUCGAUUGACGUUACCCGCAGAAGAAGCACCGGCUAACUCCGUGCCAGCAGCCGCGGUAAUACGGAGGGUGCAAGCGUUAAUCGGAAUUACUGGGCGUAAAGCGCACGCAGGCGGUCUGUCAAGUCGGAUGUGAAAUCCCCGGGCUCAACCUGGGAACUGCAUUCGAAACUGGCAGGCUAGAGUCUUGUAGAGGGGGGUAGAAUUCCAGGUGUAGCGGUGAAAUGCGUAGAGAUCUGGAGGAAUACCGGUGGCG
RNAcentral lists this ribosomal RNA (654 nucleotides) under Klebsiella pneumoniae subsp. rhinoscleromatis. Its description in RNAcentral is "bacterial SSU rRNA". It matches the Rfam family "Bacterial small subunit ribosomal RNA", at positions 69 to 717 of the family's 1533-position model. The record is from RNAcentral. Lineage: Bacteria; Pseudomonadati; Pseudomonadota; Gammaproteobacteria; Enterobacterales; Enterobacteriaceae.